UUGAGCAUUUUGAUUUCUUUGACAAUGAAGGAACAAUAGAGAGAAAUACAACAAUGAGGAAGUCUCACACAUCCACCAUAGAUCUACUCACCUGGUCUGAAAUUCCUCCCUCCUAUUCCCCCUCAAUCACCUCUGCUGCUCAUUCUCACCAGGGAAAAUGUUAGCCAUCGGAUGGGAUCAGUAAGGUGGUGUUUGGAGGUCAGGUUACAGAUGAAGAAGUUGAGAAUUUGAACAAAAGGCCUUGCAUUUGACAGAUUGGGAAGAUGUUUGGGACGUAGUGGUGGGUUUGAAGCAAUGUGGUAAGAGUUGCAAGCUUAGAUGGGCACCCUCGUCCCUGUGAUUGGGGGAAGUGGGUUUGUUGCAACUGCAACUGCUAUAGGAAUUGUUGCCGGUAGUUUUAAAUAAUCUGUUAAUAGUUUUGGAUAUGUUUAGAAACUUAGAUAUGCAUAGUUUUGGAUGGUUUAAACUUUUGGGACAAUGUAGAACUUAAUGAUAUAGUUUUCGAAUGUUUGGAAUGUAUAGAUAAUUAUUGAAUAUUUAUAAUUUAUGGAUAUAGUU
Camellia sinensis is the source of this 558-nucleotide non-coding RNA. NCBI's taxonomy places the organism in Eukaryota, Viridiplantae, Streptophyta, Magnoliopsida, Ericales, Theaceae. The record is from RefSeq and is a predicted model, not a curated record.